Molecule: ribosomal RNA, 635 nt
Filed under: Volvariella perciliata
Lineage: Eukaryota; Fungi; Basidiomycota; Agaricomycetes; Agaricales; Pluteaceae
Description: eukaryotic LSU rRNA
Rfam family: 5.8S ribosomal RNA (bases 241-395)
Source: RNAcentral
AGGGGAAGGUUUCGAUGCUGGCUCCUCCUUCGAGGAUGCAUCGUGCACAGCGUUUCCUUUCUUGGCUCAUUUGUUUCCUUUCAAAAAAAAAAACCCUUAUUGAUGCAUGUGUGCACUUCUCAAAAAGUGCCUUUCGUGUUGAGAAAGAAAAGAGAUGACAUGGAGAGAAAUAGAGGAAGGUGGCUGAUCUUUGAUCAACCUUUUUUGUAUAUCUUGAUAUGUCUUCUGAUCAAAUAAUACAACUUUCAACAACGGAUCUCUGGGCUCUCGCAUCGAUGAAGAACGCAGCGAAUUGCGAUAAGUAAUGUGAAUUGCAGAAUUCAGUGAAUCAUCGAAUCUUUGAACGCAUCUUGCGCUUUUUGGCUAUUCCAAAGAGCAUGCCUGUUUGAGGGUCAUUGAAAAUUUCAAGCUUUCUUACAGUCUCAAUUCUUGGGUCUGUGGCUUGGAUAUUGGGAGUGCUGCAGGUUCGUCUCAUUUUCUCGAAAGAAUUUGGGAGUUUCUGCUCUCCUCAAAUGCAUCAGUCAGGCUUCUUUUCACUUCGAGGCCUUUGUGGUGUUGAUAGGUUGUCUAUGCCAUUGAUGGUUUUGAAAACAAGUUGAGCCUGGCUUUACCUUUAAGCUCUUUUGAAUAACCUU